UACGUAGGGUGCGAGCGUUGUCCGGAAUUAUUGGGCGUAAAGGGCUCGUAGGCGGUUUGUCGCGUCGGGUGUGAAAUCCACUGGCUUAACUGGUGGCUUGCUUUCGAUACGGGCAGACUGGAGGUAUGCAGGGGAGAACGGAAUUCCUGGUGUAGCGGUGAAAUGCGCAGAUAUCAGGAGGAACACCGAUGGCGAAGGCAGGUCUCUGGGCAUUAACUGACGCUGAGGAGCGAAAGCAUGGGGAGCGAACAGG
This 253-nucleotide ribosomal RNA is filed under the name uncultured bacterium. Its description in RNAcentral is "partial 16S ribosomal RNA". It matches the Rfam family "Bacterial small subunit ribosomal RNA", at positions 524 to 776 of the family's 1533-position model. The record is from RNAcentral.